Molecule: small RNA, 577 nt
Filed under: Pongo abelii (Sumatran orangutan)
Lineage: Eukaryota; Metazoa; Chordata; Mammalia; Primates; Hominidae
Description: processed transcript
Source: RNAcentral
GUCUUUGCCUGCUACCAUGUGAGGUGUGCCUUUGCUCUUCCUUCGUCUUCUGCCAUGAUUGUGAGGUCUCCCCAGCCAUCUGGAACCACCAAUGAGUGGAACAAGAAUGAUGACCGGCUACUGCAGGCCGUGGAGAAUGGAGAUGCAGAGAAGGUGGCUUCACUGCUCGGCAAGAAGGGGGCCAGUGCCACUAAACACGACAGUGAGGGCAAGACCGCGUAAGCUGAAACACUGUUUCCAUCUUGCUGCUGCAAAAGGACACGUGGAAUGCCUCAGGGUCAUGGUUACACAUGGUGUGGAUGUGACAGCCCAAGAUACUACCGGACACAGCGCCUUACAUCUCGCAGCCAAGAACAGCCACCAUGAAUGCAUCAGGAAGCUCCUUCAGUCUAAAUGCCCAGCCGAAAGCGUUGACAGCUCUGGGAAAACAGCUUUACAUUAUGCAGCGGCUCAGGGCUGCCUUCAAGCUGUGCAGAUUCUCUGCGAACACAAGAGCCCCAUAAACCUCAAAGAUUUGGAUGGGAAUAUACCGCUGCUUCUUGCUGUACAAAAUGGUCACAGUGAGAUCUGUCACUUU